AUGCCGCAAACACAAAGGCAGCCACCUUUCCUUCGAGGCCAAGAUAAAUCAGUCCCGUGGGCGCAAAAAAAAAGUAAUCAACCCGUGGACGCAGGAGCAAAAGAACAAGCAGACGCACAAAAGAGCGCACGUGCAGGCCCUAUGUGUGUGUGCGCGCGCGCGCACGUCACGUGUAAAUGGACACACACGCACGCAUUCUUCCUGCCUUUCUCCUCCUUUUUUUUUUGGCACGAGCCUACUCCGGUUCAGGCAUACAUACAGCCAAAACGGCGCAGAAACAAGCCGUUGCGCGCUGUCAGCCGCUCUCAGAAUCCCCACCACCGCCGCCCCGCCGGCGCAACGGUCCGGUCCGGCCCGGCCUUUAAAGUUUAA
Molecule: ribosomal RNA, 372 nt
Filed under: Triticum aestivum (bread wheat)
Lineage: Eukaryota; Viridiplantae; Streptophyta; Magnoliopsida; Poales; Poaceae
Description: partial small subunit ribosomal RNA
Source: RNAcentral